AAAUGAAUAGACGGGGGCCCGCACAAGCGGUGGAGCAUGUGGUUUAAUUCGAUGCAACGCGAAGAACCUUACCAGGUCUUGACAUCCUACGAAUACUUAGGAAACUAGGUAGUGCCUUCGGGAGCGUAGAGACAGGUGGUGCAUGGUUGUCGUCAGCUCGUGUCGUGAGAUGUUGGGUUAAGUCCCGCAACGAGCGCAACCCUUGCUAUUAGUUGCUAACAUUUUAAGAUGAGCACUCUAAUGGGACUGCCCGUGACAAGCGGGAGGAAGGUGGGGAUGACGUCAAAUCAUCAUGCCCUUUAUGAUCUGGGCUACACACGUGCUACAAUGGGUGGUACAGAGAGCAGCGAAGUCGCGAGGCGGAGCGAAUCUCAUAAAGCCACUCUCAGUUCGGAUUGCAGUCUGCAACUCGACUGCAUGAAGUCGGAAUCGCUAGUAAUCGCGAAUCAGCACGUCGCGGUGAAUGCGUUCCCGGGCCUUGUACACACCGCCCGU
Molecule: ribosomal RNA, 495 nt
Filed under: uncultured bacterium
Lineage: Bacteria
Description: bacterial SSU rRNA
Rfam family: Bacterial small subunit ribosomal RNA
Source: RNAcentral